AACUCUAAUAGUUUACAAAAAACAUUGGUCUUGUAAGCCAAAGAACGAAGACUACCCCCUUCUUAGAGUUCCC
This 73-nucleotide transfer RNA is filed under the name Otus bakkamoena (Indian scops owl). Its description in RNAcentral is "tRNA-Thr". It matches the Rfam family "tRNA". From Rfam's summary of the family: Transfer RNA (tRNA) molecules are approximately 80 nucleotides in length. Their secondary structure includes four short double-helical elements and three loops (D, anti-codon, and T loops). Further hydrogen bonds mediate the characteristic L-shaped molecular structure. tRNAs have two regions of fundamental functional importance: the anti-codon, which is responsible for specific mRNA codon recognition, and the 3' end, to which the tRNAs corresponding amino acid is attached (by aminoacyl-tRNA synthetases). tRNAs cope with the degeneracy of the genetic code in two manners: having more than one tRNA (with a specific anti-codon) for a particular amino acid; and 'wobble' base-pairing, i.e. permitting non-standard base-pairing at the 3rd anti-codon position. The record is from RNAcentral. Lineage: Eukaryota; Metazoa; Chordata; Aves; Strigiformes; Strigidae. RNAcentral also lists the same sequence under 1 other name.